GGUAGAUGAACAGUGUUUCUCUCUUCAUACCAUAACUAAGAAUAUGAAAGAGAAUGAGUUGCUGAAGGUCACCAAGAGAAUUCACGGCAGAGAUCCCGGAGUUGCUGAAGCAACUGUAAAACAUCCAAGAGCUUUUCUUCCACCAGUGACAGCCUUACUCUCUCUGUCUCCAACAUCUGGAAUUCCAUCUUCAUCAGCUCAGAUUCCUCGGCCUUCUGUUGUAUUUCCCCUAGCAAUGGGCCUUUCGUCUAGACAACAGAUAACAUAAAAAGUAUUGUGUAGCAC
RNAcentral lists this long non-coding RNA (285 nucleotides) under Notechis scutatus (mainland tiger snake). RNAcentral describes it as "lncRNA (ENSNSUG00000020126.1)". Lineage: Eukaryota; Metazoa; Chordata; Lepidosauria; Squamata; Elapidae. The record is from RNAcentral.